UACAGAGGUGGCAAGCGUUGUUCGGAAUUACUGGGCGUAAAGCGUGCGUAGGCGGCGCCGCAAGUCGAGUGUGAAAUCCCCGAGCUUAACUUGGGAAUUGCGCUCGAAACUACGAUGCUGGAGUGUGGCAGAGGGAGGUGGAAUUCCACGUGUAGCGGUGAAAUGCGUAGAGAUGUGGAGGAACACCGAUGGCGAAGGCAGCCUCCUGGGCCAACACUGACGCUCAUGCACGAAAGCGUGGGGAGCAAACAGG
Molecule: ribosomal RNA, 253 nt
Filed under: uncultured bacterium
Lineage: Bacteria
Description: partial 16S ribosomal RNA
Rfam family: Bacterial small subunit ribosomal RNA
Source: RNAcentral